RNAcentral lists this ribosomal RNA (468 nucleotides) under uncultured bacterium. RNAcentral describes it as "partial 16S ribosomal RNA". It matches the Rfam family "Bacterial small subunit ribosomal RNA", at positions 28 to 507 of the family's 1533-position model. The record is from RNAcentral.
GACGAACGCUGGCGGCGUGCUUAACACAUGCAAGUCGAACGGAAAGGCCCUGCUUUUGUGGGGUGCUCGAGUGGCGAACGGGUGAGUAACACGUGAGUAACCCGCCCCUGUCUUUGGGAUAACUUCAGGAAACUGGGGCUAAUACCCGAUAGAAGCUCCUGCUCCAUGGUGGGCGUUGGAAAGAUUCGGUGGUUGGGGAUCGGUUCGCUGGUUAUCCGCUUGUUUGUGGGGUAGGGGCUUACCAAGGCUUUGACGGAUAGCCUGCCUGAGAGGGUGAACGGCGCCAUUGGGACUGAGAUACGGCCCAGUCUGCAAGCGGAGGCAACAGGGGAGAAUAUUGCGCAGUAGGCGGAAGCCUGAUGCAGAAAUGCCGCGAGCGGGAUGACGUCUUUCGGGGGGUAAACCGCUUUGGCCUGUGACGAGGAGUGAGUGACGGUAAUGGGUAAAGAAGCACCGGCUAACUACGUG